AAAUCUCCCUCAACCCUCACCAUGCUCACAAUAACCAUCACUCUGAUUUCGCAGCUUUUGCAACCCCCGAGUUCGAUCUCUACAAUUUGUCUGGACCACAAAUGACACAAAUGGGGACUUUUGUGGAAAGCCAUUGAUGAGGGCCAGACAUUUUUAUAUAUCAAAGAUUAUUAUUUGCUAUCACUGGGGAAGGAUCUCGCAAAGAGAAGUAUGAGGAGAACAUAAAGAAAUUCAACCUCAAACUUGUGGCUUUCCUUGCCAUUUGGCUGUAACCAGAGGACUGCCCCUUCCUUCUUUACAAUAUCAUCAUUGCAGUUAAGGAACAAUGUUUAGUAGUUCAGAGAUGGUACUACAAGUUCAUAUUUGCGUGUGAAGGAAAAAUAUGGAUUGCGGAUCUCUUAUACAAUAAGUCGAAAUGACUACAACGAACUUGGCACGUAACAAAGAGGUGCAACACGGAACACAUAGUAAAAUGUGAUGGAGAUAUUAAAGAGAUUUUGAGAUGUACUAGAAUGAAUGGAAGGCCACAGUUGUCAUAAAACUUUUCUUCAACUUGAGAUUUGUUAGAAGUUCAUUAUUGUAUUUUUUUUUUGAACAGUGAACUUCAUUAAACACAAGGGCAGGCCUCAAACCGAGGGCCACCACACCAAACUCUUACAUCAUAUACAAAGGAUUUUUAGACCAA
Molecule: long non-coding RNA, 685 nt
Organism: Helianthus annuus (common sunflower)
Lineage: Eukaryota; Viridiplantae; Streptophyta; Magnoliopsida; Asterales; Asteraceae
Exons: 4
Source: RefSeq, a predicted model, not a curated record